GCUGAUGAAAAUGAGCGGAUAAGGUAUCACAAUUUUAAAUCAAUAACUUCUUGUGCUCUUCUUUUGACCUGGUGAUAGUUGUUUUGCCAUUCUUUAUAUGGCCAAUUGACCACAGAAAUAAAAUAUUGCAUAGUGCCAUUUGAUAGUUUGGUAGCGAUUGUUAUCUGAUAAUGAUCCCCAUUGAGACACUGGUUUUCUAAUUUUUUUUUUCCCAAACUUCUGACAUGUUAAUUUUUGUAAUGUUUUCUGCAUGUUGCCUUGGGCAUCUGCCAUCUGGUAAGAACCCAAAAGUUUAAGGGAUUCAUAAUUGAUUUAGCCUUAAUUACUUUUUGCUUCUCAGGGUAUGGAAUUAUG
RNAcentral lists this unclassified non-coding RNA (354 nucleotides) under Hevea brasiliensis (rubber tree). The record is from RNAcentral. Lineage: Eukaryota; Viridiplantae; Streptophyta; Magnoliopsida; Malpighiales; Euphorbiaceae.